This 433-nucleotide ribosomal RNA is filed under the name uncultured bacterium. RNAcentral describes it as "partial 16S ribosomal RNA". It matches the Rfam family "Bacterial small subunit ribosomal RNA", at positions 29 to 507 of the family's 1533-position model. The record is from RNAcentral.
AACGAACGCUGGCGGCAUGCCUAACACAUGCAAGUCGAACGAGACCUUCGGGUCUAGUUGCGCUCGGGGGCGUAACGCGUGGGAAGCUGCACUUAGGUUCCGAAUCAUUCCCCUUAAGGGGUGCUAAUGCAGGAUAAUGUCUUCGCACCAAAGAUUUAUCGCCUUUGGAUGGGCCCGGGUUGGUUUAGCCAGUUGGUAGGGUAAAAGCCUACCAGGGCGAGGAUCCAUAGCUGGUCUGAGAGGAGGAGCAGCCACACUGGGACUGAGACACGGCCCAGACUCCUACGGGAGGCAGGCGUGGGGAAUAUUGGACAAUGGGGGAAAGCCUGAUCCAGCAAUGCCGGGUGAGUGAUGAAGGCGUUAAGGUUGAAAAGCUCGUUUACCCGGGAUGAUAAUGACAGUACCGGAAGAAUAAGCUCCGGCUAACUCCGUG